Molecule: ribosomal RNA, 369 nt
Filed under: uncultured bacterium
Lineage: Bacteria
Description: bacterial SSU rRNA
Rfam family: Bacterial small subunit ribosomal RNA
Source: RNAcentral
AACGAACGCUGGCGACAGGCCUAACACAUGCAAGUCGAACGCCCUAGCAAUAGGGAGUGGCAGACGGGUGAGUAACGCGUGGGAACCUUCCCUGUGGUGCGGAAUAACUCGCCGAAAGGCGUGCUAAUACCGCAUAAGCCCGCAAGGGGAAAGAUUUAUCGCCAUAGGAUGGGCCCGCGUAGGAUUAGCUAGUUGGUGAGGUAAUGGCUCACCAAGGCGACGAUCCUUAGCUGGUUUGAGAGAAUGACCAGCCACACUGGGACUGAGACACGGCCCAGACUCCUACGGGAGGCAGCAGUGGGGAAUCUUGGACAAUGGGCGCAAGCCUGAUCCAGCCAUGCCGCGUGAGUGACGAAGGCCUUCGGUUGU